UGCAUACUUCACAUCUAAGUCUGAGGAGGUAUAUAUAUAUGAACAGACUUGCGCUCUUGUAAGGAAAACCCAAGGAAGUUAUACUUCAAUCAAGGAUUUGAGGAAUCCCUUGAUUGAGACGAUUUGCUGAUCCAUGUCCAUAUUAGAUAUGUGCAUGGUAAAUAACAUUCCUUCCUUCUUGACAGAUAUGAUUCAAUUAUGUGCUUGGCUGAAGGAUUUAUCUUGACUCUUUGGCUUGAUCUGAUUUCCUUUCUUCUCUUGAUGGCUUGGCUCUAUUCUUGGCUUGAUUGAUGAUUCC
Molecule: long non-coding RNA, 298 nt
Filed under: Solanum tuberosum (potato)
Lineage: Eukaryota; Viridiplantae; Streptophyta; Magnoliopsida; Solanales; Solanaceae
Description: long non-coding RNA (STUB_LNC004658)
Source: RNAcentral